This 254-nucleotide ribosomal RNA is filed under the name uncultured bacterium. RNAcentral describes it as "partial 16S ribosomal RNA". It matches the Rfam family "Bacterial small subunit ribosomal RNA", at positions 524 to 776 of the family's 1533-position model. The record is from RNAcentral.
UACGUAGGGAGCGAGCGUUGUCCGAAGUUACUGGGCGUAAAGCGCGCGUAGGCGGGCUGUUAAGUGAGAGGUGAAAGGCUGGGGCUUAACCCCAUGCAGUGCCUCUCAUACUGGCGGUCUUGAGUGCGGCAGGGAGAAGUGGAAUGGCUGGUGUAGCGGUGAAAUGCGUAGAUAUCAGUCGGAACACCGGUGGCGAAGGCGGCUUCUUGGGCCAACACUGACGCUCAUGCACGAAAGCGUGGGGAGCAAACAGG